This is a long non-coding RNA of Cyprinus carpio (common carp), 1328 nucleotides long. RefSeq lists it as uncharacterized. Lineage: Eukaryota; Metazoa; Chordata; Actinopteri; Cypriniformes; Cyprinidae. The transcript is spliced from 4 exons. The record is from RefSeq and is a predicted model, not a curated record.
UUUGUCUGAAAUAAAAAGCUUUUGUAACAUUAUACACUACACCAUUCAAAAGCUUGGAGUCAGUAUAAUUUAUAGAGCGAGAAAGAGAGAGAGAGAAAGAAAUGAAUACUUUUAUUUAACAAGGAUGCUCUGCCUUGUUUUUUCGGGGUGUUGAUCGGCUAAAAAUUAUUCGUCCAGUCAUUUUAAAUCUGUAGGCUAGUUUAAAUUAAUCCGAACUGAAUGAAUCUAAAUGAGUCUUUUGAACAGAAUCGCAAAAAUUUGAGUGAGAUUAAUAAAAUAAAUCCACACUAUUCGCGGUAGUGCUGUAUCUCAGAGUUUGUUGUAGUUUCAUAAUAGAGGUAAUGAACAGUAUAUCACGCACUGACAUUCCAGGCCUCGCAUUUAGAGCUGAUUCACAUGAGACUUGCAAUUCUUGACGCCCUUGAAUCGAAUCGAAGUGGGCGCGCUGACAGGACUCAGGAGAGCUUGUGUUCUGCAGUGACAGGCUACUGGCUGACAGCGUUCGGUGAUUUCUGAGAGAUUUACCUCAGACGAAGGUAAGUGUGAAUACAUAAAAACAUUUUGAAAAACAUGCUUACAAAAACAUAACAUUAAACGUUGUUUGAUGUAAUUUUUUUUUUUUUUUAUCUGUAUUUCUAGCAUGAAGUUGUUUUGAGCCGUUUAUUCCCGCUUCAGGUGCUUCGCUGUUGCGUGCGGUGAUUUUUUGAGAGAUUUACUUCAGAUGAAGGUUAGGAUAAAUACAUAAAACAUUGGUUCAAUGUUGUAUUAUUUCUCUCGAACUGUAUUUAUAGCCCGGUGUUGUUUCGAGCCGUUUGUUCCCACUUCAGCAGCCUUCAGUCAGCGCGUGGUCACAGCGUCCAAAGAGAUUUAAAUCAUAUGAAAACACAUUCUGCUCAUCUGAUUCACCGGAGACAGCUUUGGAGGAGAAAUGGUCAGAAAGCAAAUGUUGCCAUUCUUCUGGAAAACUGCUGGUCUUUAAAUAACAGUCAUCAAUCAGGAUCCUCUGUUCCCAGACCCAACCAUUCAACUGAAGGACUGUGAAAAUAUGAACCCUUCGAACCACCGGCAAUGAAUGUAUGAUUUCAGAUCUAUUUUUUUUUACACUGAGGACAAUUGAGGGACACAACUAUUUCAAAAGUUAAACGCAUUUAUUGAUUUUCAAGAAAGCCACACAAUUUAAGAGAGACGGGGUGUGAACCAAUUGAAUUGGAUGAUCAGGGAAAACUAAAAUGUUUUUCUGAAAAUCAGUAUUAAAAAAGUAUGUAGCUUCUGAAGGGCAGUACUAAAUGAACAGAUAUGAUCUUUAAACAAAACAAGAAAAAUAGACU